This is a long non-coding RNA of Bos taurus (domestic cattle), 1633 nucleotides long. NCBI's taxonomy places the organism in Eukaryota, Metazoa, Chordata, Mammalia, Artiodactyla, Bovidae. The record is from Ensembl.
ACACAGCACAUUCAGACCCCACUGUGGGCGGCCAGGCUGAGCGCCCUGUCCUCGAGCGCCCUGGGCUCCUCGCUGCGGUCUGCAAGCUCCCACCUCCGUGGACCAGUUAACCGGGAUUGCUCGGUCCCCUCUGUAUCCUGGUGCUGAAAUGAUGCCCAGACAGCUGAGCGGGCCUGUGGGCUCCUGCACCCACCUGGUCACCCAUUCCCUCCAUGAGGGCUUUUGAAGACAUGAGACAUCUUGACUUCUAUUUCCCCGACACCCGUCUCUCUGCCAGACCCAGAGGGCUCGCAGGAGGCUGUACUGUCCACAACCCGGCCUUCCGCGUCGCUGCCGAACAUCCGAAGAAGGACAGAAAGGCGAUGCACGUCUGUCUCUCGCCCCAGCCAGCUGGAGGUGCUCUGUGAUGACAGUCCUGGCAGACUAAUUCAUCAGGAGGUGCCAGUUGAGGCUCUGCCAGCCGUGCUCCCGCCACGCACCGCACCGUACCGUCCCGGCGUCGGUUUAACCAGCCACCUGCCCGCAGGAGGACAUCAGGCCCCUGGGAAACACGAGCCGGGUUGUCACCUUCGUGUCCCCAGGACUCUGCCAUGGCACGCAGGGCCAGGUGUCCGGUGAGAGUCCCAGCACACCCGCACGCUGGCGGAGCUACAGAGGUCACGGGUGCGGGCUCAAAGGCGACACGAGGCGGCUUUUACGUGAAGCAGCACUGCUGCACGGGCAUCGCGUGGCCACCCACGUGACUCUUCUCCGCAAGGGCCGCUACUCAUCUGAAAGGGAGCGAUCUCACCAUUUGUUCAGAAACGGUGCACUUCAGAGGGACAUGCUGGGCUGUUUCCAGAACUUGUUUAAACAGACGCGAGAUGGUCGUUAGGGUCCCUGUACUGUGAAUAACCUCAGUGUCCGUCCUGGCCACCCAGCCUAUGCGUGAUGAGGACGAAGAGUGGGAGAACACACUCUGUGUGGGUGGGUGUGUGCGUGUGCUCGUGUACGCGUGUGUGUGUGCACACUCACCUCUGUGGACACGUGCGUGUUUUAUGUACAGCUAGGAAGGACCAGAACAUGCUACCAGGGCAAACCUGGGGGACCUGGGUGUCCUCUUGGCGCGCACCGGAACCCUGCCUCUGCCCCUGCUAGCAGAGGGCAUAACUCACACACCAUCUGAGAGUGGGGAUCGCUCCUGCCAAAGCAGAAUGUUAGGAUGGACAUCGCAGGCACGGGAGGACCCGGGGGUGCUGGACUCAGCCGCGAGCCCCAUUCAAAAUACUUCAGGAAAGUCUCUGACUCCAUUUAAAGGGGGACGAUAUGGGCUUCCUUGGGGGCUCAGUGGUAAAGAACUCGCGUACAGUGCCAGAGCCACGGGAGAUGCGGGUUCGAUUCCUGGGCUCUGGAGGAGGGCAUGGCAACCCACUCCAGUAUUCUUGCCUGGAGAAUCCCCAUGGACAGAGGAGCCUGGCAGGCUACCACCCACAGAGUCGAAAAGAAUCAGAUACGACUGAAGCAACUGGGCACACAGGCACAUUAUGCCUUUGGAUCACACUUUACAGAAAGGUGGAUGAACAUGAUGGAGGGUGUGCCCAGGUGUGCCCUGCACCCCCUCCGCCACAGCCACCUAAACCCCCAUCUCUCUCCC